This 420-nucleotide ribosomal RNA is filed under the name bacterium. RNAcentral describes it as "partial 16S ribosomal RNA". It matches the Rfam family "Bacterial small subunit ribosomal RNA", at positions 355 to 777 of the family's 1533-position model. The record is from RNAcentral.
UGGGGGAUAUUGCACAAUGGGCGAAAGCCUGAUGCAGCGACGCCGCGUGGGGGAUGAAGGCCUUCGGGUUGUAAACUUCUUUUGCUCUGAACAAGGCGCACCAUGGGGUGUGUUGAGUGUAGGGGUUGAUUAGCGCCGGCUAACUACGUGCCAGCAGCCGCGGUAAUACGUAGGGCGCGAGCGUUGUCCGGAAUUAUUGGGCGUAAAGGGCUUGUAGGUGGCUGGUUGCGUCUGUCGUGAAAGCUCAUGGCUUAACUGUGGGUUUGCGGUGGGUACGGGCUGGCUUGAGUGCAGUAGGGGAGGCUGGAAUUCCUGGUGUAGCGGUGGAAUGCGCAGAUAUCAGGAGGAAGACCGGUGGCGAAGGCGGGUCUCUGGGCUGUUACUGACACUGAGGAGCGAAAGCAUGGGGAGCGAACAGGA